AUGGGCGAGAUGGAGUCGACCUCGCCGCCGCCGGCGGGAGCGGGCGGCGCGGUGCUGCAGGUGGUGUUCGUGGACGGCGAGCGGAGCGUGGACCUGGGCACGGUCACCGUGCACCCGUCGCUGGGCGUGCGGAGGCUGCAGGCGGUGGUGGCGGACCGCGUGGGCGUCGCGCCGCAGCAGAUCUCGGCGUCGCUCGCCCGGCCGCGGCGCCAGCGCCGCGUGCCGCUCGACGAGGGCGCCGACCUCGCCGCCGCCGUGGCCCGCGAGGGCGCCGGCUGCUACGUGCUCGCCGGGCUCCGCCGCUCGCGCCGCGACCGCCGCGGGGGCCGCUCCAGGCGCGACCGGAAGGGCGCGGGGGCGGGGCCUCAGCAGCCGCUGCUGAUGGCGCCGACGACGGGCUCGGAGCGGACCAUCCUGAAGCGCCUCCCGUCGACGGAUCUGGCGUCCCUGGCGGGCGCCGCGUCCCCCGUGGCGGCGUUCGGCGGGUGGGACUACGAGGCGCAGCUGCGGGAGCUGCAGCGGCAGCACGAGUGGUACAUGAUGAGCACCGCCGCGCCGGAUCCGUACCUCCUCCCGCCGCUCCUCGACGACCCGCCGGCGGCGCUCUGGCCGGCGCGCCCCUCGACGCCCUGCCCCGACUGCGAGGCGGCCGCGGCGCUGGGCCUGCGCGAGCCGGCGUUCCACUGGUGCGUGCGCGACGCGGUCACCGUGGGGUUCCGCUCCCCGGUGGGCCCCAUCGAGCGCCCGUCCGCCGCCAGGAGAUCCCCGUCCCAGACGCCGUCGCCGACCCCGUCGCCGCCGCCGUCGUUUGCGCCCGCCACCGGCCGCCAUCUGCAGCAGUCCUUCCUCCACCCCGGCCUGACGCCGCUCUGCUACUAG
Molecule: ribosomal RNA, 879 nt
Filed under: Triticum aestivum (bread wheat)
Lineage: Eukaryota; Viridiplantae; Streptophyta; Magnoliopsida; Poales; Poaceae
Description: partial small subunit ribosomal RNA
Source: RNAcentral